RNAcentral lists this ribosomal RNA (489 nucleotides) under uncultured Alphaproteobacteria bacterium. RNAcentral describes it as "bacterial SSU rRNA". The stretch from base 50 to 489 matches the Rfam family "Bacterial small subunit ribosomal RNA", at positions 1 to 487 of the family's 1533-position model. Lineage: Bacteria; Pseudomonadati; Pseudomonadota; Alphaproteobacteria. The record is from RNAcentral.
GUUGGGAGCUCUACCAUAUGGUCGACCUGCAGGCGGCCGCGAAUUCACUAGUGAUUAGAGUUUGAUCAUGGCUCAGAACGAACGCUGGCGGCAUGCCUAACACAUGCAAGUCGAACGAAGGCUUCGGCCUUAGUGGCGCACGGGUGCGUAACGCGUGGGAAUCUGCCCCUUGGUUCGGAAUAACAGUUAGAAAUGACUGCUAAUACCGGAUGAUAUCGCGAGAUCAAAGAUUUAUCGCCUGAGGAUGAGCCCGCGUAGGAUUAGCUAGUUGGUGUGGUAAAGGCGCACCAAGGCGACGAUCCUUAGCUGGUCUGAGAGGAUGAUUAGCCACACUGGGACUGAGACACGGCCCAGACUCCUACGGGAGGCAGCAGUGGGGAAUAUUGGACAAUGGGCGAAAGCCUGAUCCAGCAAUGCCGCGUGAGUGAUGAAGGCCUUAGGGCUGUAAAGCUCUUUUACCCGGGAUGAUAAUGACAGUACCGGGAGAAU